UAGGGAAUCUUCGGCAAUGGGGGGACCACCCUGACCGAACACGCCGCGUGAGUGAAGAAGGUUUUCGGAUCGUAAAGCUCUGUUGUAAGAGAAGAACGUGUGUGAGAGUGGAAAGUUCACACAGUGACGGUAACUUACCAGAAAGGGACGGCUAACUACGUG
Molecule: ribosomal RNA, 162 nt
Filed under: uncultured bacterium
Lineage: Bacteria
Description: partial 16S ribosomal RNA
Rfam family: Bacterial small subunit ribosomal RNA
Source: RNAcentral